Long non-coding RNA from Juglans microcarpa x Juglans regia, 483 nucleotides. RefSeq lists it as uncharacterized. The transcript is spliced from 3 exons. The record is from RefSeq and is a predicted model, not a curated record. Lineage: Eukaryota; Viridiplantae; Streptophyta; Magnoliopsida; Fagales; Juglandaceae.
AGACUACUUUUGCCAUGAUCUUGGUUUUGGUCUAACCGCAGUGCCUCCUCGUACUCUUCCGGGUCCUCUUUAUUUUCUUCUUCUUCGUGUACUCGAACUCCAAAAAGGUACUUUUUUUCUUCUCUCUCUCUCUCAAUGUGCACGGAUCCGACUGUGGGAGUGGAAUCGAGUCUUGAGCUGUUUCUGAUUGCGAAAUUGUCCUAUGGUUGGAUUUGUUAAGAUGCUUUUGAUGGGUUUUAUGUUUACUUUUGUGGAGGACGAUGAUGACUAUAGAUAAAUGAAAAAGAAAGGGUUAUGGCAAAUGGAGAAAGAAAUCGAGGGAAGGUUGUCGGUUGAGUGAGAGAGAGAGAGAGACGAGAGAAAUGAUAAAGAGAUUUUUGCUGGUUUAAAAGCAAAAGGAAACGGCAAAAAUGUAAUAAUGUAUACAAAGCAAGGGUAAAAUGGGAAAAAAAGUGUUAGACAAAAACACUGUUCCUCUUGGAU